UAGGGUGUAGUAUAGUGGUUUUACGUAGAGUUUUGGAUUCUUAGAUGAAGGUUCGAGUCCUUUUUCCCUAG
This 71-nucleotide transfer RNA is filed under the name Harpesaurus borneensis. RNAcentral's name for it is "tRNA-Gln". It matches the Rfam family "tRNA". From Rfam's summary of the family: Transfer RNA (tRNA) molecules are approximately 80 nucleotides in length. Lineage: Eukaryota; Metazoa; Chordata; Lepidosauria; Squamata; Agamidae. The record is from RNAcentral.